GAACUCCAAGGGCAGGAGGUAACCAUUAAAGAGGACCAUCAUGUAGUGUGAGGAGUCAACAUUUCACACUAGAAAGCCCUUGGUUCAAGUUUUGUCUCUGCCACCUACAGAUUUUGUAACCCUGAGGAAACUAGCUACCUCUUUAUGUACUGCCCUAUGGAGAGGCACACAUGUCAAGAAACUGAGGGAGUGCCUUCCAGUCAACAGCCAGCCAGGAACUAAGGUGCUCAGUACAGCAGCCUCCACAAAGGACUGAACAAUGCCAACAGCUAUUUGACUGUGCUUGGAAGAUCUCCGUUUAGUUAACCCUUCAGAUGAGACCGCAGCCCUGGCCAGCAAACAAAUUGCAGCCUAUGGAAAGACCUUAAGGCAGAAGCACCCAACUGAACCACCCGAGGGCUCUGACUUACAGAAACUGUGAGCAUAUAGUGAAAUGGCCUCUACCUUAUUUUGAAUGGAUUUCUGGGAUAAAGUUCUUCAGUGAUAACAUGUUUGAAGCGGCUAUCUUAUGUGCCCAUGUUACAUGCUCAUGAUAAAGCUGCAUUUCCUGAGGGGACACCAAUGGAUACACCUCUGCCUGGCACGCAGCUUAGAGGCUAAAUGUAUGAAAAGCAACACCAUGCAAAUCAUUUUGAAACUGCUGUGGAACUCUCACGGGACCCUCCAUUCUAGACAUCCAGUCCCACUAGUGAUCUGACCAUGAAACCUACUAAGAGACUUCCAGAAGAAGAUGACCUCUGAAAGGAGAAAACUUUCUUCCAAGCUUCUGUGGAACAAGAAGAUGCCAUCCCUUUGGUGGAGCCCAAAGGGAAACCAGAAUGGCAAAUUGAGUCAUGUGAAGUUUCGGGA
RNAcentral lists this long non-coding RNA (849 nucleotides) under Homo sapiens (human). RNAcentral describes it as "non-protein coding LINC01229:6". The record is from RNAcentral. Lineage: Eukaryota; Metazoa; Chordata; Mammalia; Primates; Hominidae.